RNAcentral lists this long non-coding RNA (3647 nucleotides) under Fragaria vesca (wild strawberry). RNAcentral describes it as "long non-coding RNA (FVES_LNC001154)". Lineage: Eukaryota; Viridiplantae; Streptophyta; Magnoliopsida; Rosales; Rosaceae. The record is from RNAcentral.
UUUUUGAAUUGGGAUUCUUUAGUCCUAAUAGUUCUGCUAAUAUGUACGUGGGGUUGUGGCACAAAAGUAUAUUUCCUCGUAAAAUUGUAUGGGUAGCUAACAGAGAAAACCCCCUUGCAGUUAAAGACACCUUGGCUACUUUGAGAAUCGGCAGCAAUGGAAAUCUGGAGCUUGUAGAUGGGAAGCAGAGUUCUGUAUGGUCAACCAAUGUUUCGGUGUCAACUAAUGGUUCGGCUGCAGUUCUUUUGGACAGUGGAACCUUUGUUCUCAAAGAUNNNNNNNNNNNNNNNNNNNNAAGGUUUCAGCAGUCUCUUUCUUAUUGUUUACAUAAUACUUAACAAGCCAAAGACAUUAGUCUAACAACUGUAGCCGUCAUAUUCGUAUUUUGUCAGGCAUGGCACUUAUGGAAUCAAGGCAGGGGAUUGGAGUUAGUAGACGAAGUAUUGGCUGAUUUAUAUUCGUCAGCAGAAGUAAUGAGAUGCCUGCAGAUUGGGCUUCUUUGUGUACAAGACAAUGCUGUGGAUAGGCCAAGCAUGCUAGAAGUAGUUCUCAUGCUAAGUAGUAACACAGACAGUCCACAACCAAAGCAGCCUACAUUCACUUUCCACAACCCCGUCUCUCCUCCUCAACCACAUUAUGCGAAAAGCACUUGUUCCAGAAAUGAAGCUACCAUAACAAUAAUCGAAGGGCGAUGAUAACUACAACUUUUUGCAUCACAAAAUUCUUUAGAUUAAGCUGCAUUUCAGACUUCAGGUCAAUCAUUAUGCAAUGUUGUAAUCAGUUUACAUAUAUGGAAACCAAGGUGUUGAAGUUUUGAUAAUCAGUUUCGAUUAUGGUGAAUAAUGAUGCUUCUUCUUUCAUCUUGGACCCUAAGUUAUCGAGUCAAAAAUCUCCAGAAGGAGCCUAAAGUUGAUGUCAAAUUUGUCUCCCAUCGUUUUUGAACUAGUGCCCGAUCAGUCAUAGAACUUUCAAUAUUACUCGCCUAAGCUUAGGUCUCUAUAGACGCUUCUCUUCUUUCAAUAGUAGACCUAUCUUUCAAAAACUGUAAUACUUUGUUGUUUUUCUUGUUCAUCUCCAGUUUGCUUCCCUCCCAGUAUAGUGCUCAGCUCUAGAACAUGACUCCUUCAAUCCCAUUAGCACCAGGAGAAACUCUAACUCUAGUCUCCCUAAUCAUUUACUCAGUACACCCAUUACAAAAGGCCCAAAGCAAGAAAGCUUACAAGUACCCAACACCUAAAGCCCAAAAGAAACCUUUAAAUUGUGGACCUUUUGGAAAUUUGUGUGAGAGCCAUCCGAAGAGCUAGAGCAUCUGCUCGCACUUUUUCCCUUGACCCCUUUCAGGUGAUCCAUUGCAAAAGUUUUAAUCUUUUACAUCAGUCAUUUUACAUUAUCAAUCUUUUUAGUUAAUGAUGUUGAUGGGUGUUUUGAUUAUUUCAUUUUCAGAUUGAUUGGGUGUUAGAUAUUUCCUGGGUUUAAUUUUUCUUUUUCCCAAUUUGUUUGGUGCUGAAUUUACCUACCUAAUGAUUUCUUUGCUUGUAAAAUCUGGGUCUCUCUUUGGAUGAACUAUCAUACACUGCUUCGCUUCCUUCACUUAAAUUUCAAUUCUUUAUUGUUAAUUGUUUCCAUGGUUGAAAACAAUGGCUUAAAUUUUUAGUGGUACUGAAAGUGACCAGAGAAGACUGAGAAGAUAGAUUUAAUGUUUAUUUUAGGUAAUUUGGUGUAGAAAAAUUCCCCUUACUCUUGGGGUUUGUAGUACAUGAAGAUUUCCAAAGUGGAUUGACCCGUAUUGAUGCUUUUAUACUCUGCACAUACGGCACGAGUCGUAAGCACUUCUAAGUCUUUUUUGCAUGAAGUUGAAUCCUGUCAAUGAAUACAAGGAUAUCCAGUUUUCUUGCCUUCUGUUGAAAUGUUCUUUCAUCCAUGCUAUAAAAUUACCCAAAUAUCUGUAACAUUUUUGAUGAAGUGGUGCGAGGUUUUUGAUGCCAGUCACCUAAUCAUUUACUCUGUACACCCAACAUCUUGAGCCCAAAAUGAAGACUUCAAAUUAAGAACCUUUUGGUGCACUGACUGUGACUGCUUUCAAUUGCAGCUCUUGGAAUAGGCAGUUCAGCUUUCUUCUUUGAACUGGUGAGUCCCCUGCCCUCACUUCCCUCUGACUCCUCUCAGGUAUUUUCAUUUCUUGUUUCAUUUAAUGUAAAUUGAGCAUUGGCAUAUUGAUUUAGUAAGUAAUUUCAGGUAGUAUAUUCCAUUUCUUAAUACCAUACUUUUUUAUUCUUUUCCUUGCAUGUAAUUUGGGCCUCUCUCAAGAUGACAAAUAUCAUAUGGUUCUUUGCUUCCUUCGCUUCAACUCCAAUUCAUUUCUCAAUACUACACCAUGUCCUUGGUUGAUAAUCUGAAAGUGACCGAAGAAGAUGGUGAAAUGUGGACUGUAUCAAUGGUUUGUGUUGUAACAAUGUUACAGCCCAAGGUAUUUACUGGCUUAAUUGUGUGUAUCAGAGCCUGACACUCUUCGCGUUGGUUAUUUUUCAUCCCAACUAGUAUGUGUCAUUCCUUUAUUCCUGCAUAUUUGACUGAGUUGAUGGUAAUUGAAAUAUAUAUAUAUAUAUAUAUAUAUANNNNNNNNNNNNNNNNNNNNAUAUAUAUAUAUAUAAUAUAUGUAUCAAUGUAUGUAUAUAUAUGUAUAGAUCAGCUGCCCAUUUGAAUUGGUUAUUUAGAACAAUGUUUACCGAGUCAAAUGAUUUCCAAAAGUCAGCUUGCUCCACUAGGAACCUAAGAAUUGUUAUUUUUUUGCUGAGACAGGUAUCCAGGGUUAUUCAAAAUUUUCUGGUCAUAAUUUUCAAAGGACUGAGAAAACAAUUUCUACAUAGUAAAAAAUGAUAAAUUUCAUUUAGUCUAUUGAAAAUUCACAAAUAUAUGCUAUAUUAGUUGAAAAGUUGGAAAUAAGCAUCCUGCGUUUGGUAGGAAAUCAACACCCUUGAUACAUAAAUAUUAUCAUCUUUAGUUAGUAAAGUUCUGCUUCUGAGUUCCACCAGAAACAGUUCAUAAUUGUCAUUAUUUUGAUGAUCUCGCUACUAAGAUGCCAAUAGGUGUUGAAACCAGUAGUGUUCGUGUUUUAAAUACUUCCAUGUUCUUCAUAUUAAUCUUCAGCUUGCUUCCAUCACAAUAUUGGGCUGAAGUUUAUAAUGUUACUUCUUCACAGCCAUUGGCACAGGGACAAACUCUAGUUUCUCCUAACCAAGUUUUUGAAUUGGGAUUCUUUAGUCCUAAUAGUUCUGCUAAUAUGUACGUGGGGUUGUGGCACAAAAGUAUAUUUCCUCGUAAAAUUGUAUGGGUAGCUAACAGAGAAAACCCCCUUGCAGUUAAAGACACCUUGGCUACUUUGAGAAUCGGCAGCAAUGGAAAUCUGGAGCUUGUAGAUGGGAAGCAGAGUUCUGUAUGGUCAACCAAUGUUUCGGUGUCAACUAAUGGUUCGGCUGCAGUUCUUUUGGACAGUGGAACCUUUGUUCUCAAAGAUGACAUGGGAGCUGAUUUGUGGCAGACUUUUGAUUAUCCUAGUGACACACUUCUGCCAAACAUGAUGCUGGGAUUCGAUAGUAAUACUGGAAUCUGGAAUUUGUUGACAUCAUGGAAAGGUGAAAAUGAUCCAU